AAUCAACGCUGGCGGCGUGCCUCAGACAUGCAAGUCGAACGAUUAAACUUUCCUUCGGGAAAGAUAUAAAGUGGCGCACGGGUGAGUAACACGUAAGUAAUCUACCUUCGGAUGGGGAAUAACAGUCGGAAACGACUGCUAAUACCGCAUAAUGCAGCGGCACCUAAUGGUGACAGUUGUUAAAGUAUUUAUACGUCUGAAGAGGAGCUUGCGGCAGAUUAGCUAGUUGGUAAGGAAUGGCUUACCAAGGCGACGAUCUGUAGCCGACCUGAGAGGGUGGUCGGUCACACUGACACUGAAUAACGGGUCAGACUCCUACGGGAGGCAGCAGUCGGGAAUUUUGGGCAAUGGGCGAAAGCCUGACCCAGCAACGCCGCGUGAAGGAUGAAGUCUUUCGGGAUGU
RNAcentral lists this ribosomal RNA (403 nucleotides) under uncultured bacterium. RNAcentral's name for it is "bacterial SSU rRNA". It matches the Rfam family "Bacterial small subunit ribosomal RNA", at positions 32 to 426 of the family's 1533-position model. The record is from RNAcentral.